CAGAAUGGUGCGUCCUCAGGGCUAGGCAUUCCCAGGUAUCUGGUCCUGGUCUCAGCUGUCACUGCUGGCUCUGUGCUUCUCCUGAGUCUGGUCAUCCUCUUCAUCUGGGUCAUCCCCAGGUUAAAGGCAUGGCGUUCAACGAUGAGACCAACACAGGUCAGGACUAGCGACGUCUAUGAAGACAUGCGCACCACCAUCAGACGUGCGCACCACCCUUAGAUGGGUUAUUAGUGAUGUUGCAUGGCAGCCAUCUUUACUUUGGGCACCACCCUCAGACAGGUUGUUACUGAUGUUGCACGGCAGCCAUCUUUACUUUGGGUCCAAACGGAGGCCCAUGUCAGCUGACUAGGAGACAAUGAUGUCAACAUACUGUAAUACAUGAUAUCAACGAAGGACCUUGAAAGAUAUCUUCUCAGGUAGUGUUUAGUAGCAAGGGCUUGCAUCAUUGAUGUACACUUAUGUCAGUCAUUCAACCUCAAGGCAAGCUACCUAUAUACUGUAGCUACUUAAGUAUACACAGCAUUGUAUGUGACUGACAUCACACACUGUAAAUGGUUGUUCAUACAGAGGCUAGGAGAAUGCUUUUUAUGGUCCUUGACCCUGAUGCAGCAGGUAGAACUUGAGUCUUGUAAUUACCGCCACAAUUUAACUUGUGCAUGGAAUUUCAAAUUUUUUCGCCGUACAUUCUAUUUUGCUGUAUAGAUUGACAAUAUAUUUUUUUACCACUUUUAAAUGUUGAAAUGAUUCUCAAUUGUAUAUUUUUGUUUACAUUUACAGUAUAUUUUUGUUUACAUAUUUGAUGGCAUUGGGCCUACACCUAUUUUCCAGGCGCCAGGCAACAUUUACUACUAUUUUAUUUGUAUACUUUUGCAUGCUUUAGUUCCUGUACUGAUCAUGUUGUUCCUGUAAUGAUAGUCUACAUAAGACUAACAGUUCUGCUUCUGUGGUCACUGUGGCAUCUCAUCUUUUUCACAACAGUUUUGUGAUGUUUGCAUUUUAAGAACCCCCAUCAGCAGGGCUCAUCUCUCUACAGGAAAACGAGUCUGUUUUUAAUAUUUACUGGACAGGCUGGGGUUGGUCUGUCCGGUAAUGCUGUCGCCUUCCAGAACUUACUGUAUGGCCCACUAGCUAGCUGGGAUCGAAUCACAGGUCUACCUCUUUACUCAAUACCGUUUUCCCCUUCCAUUCACUCCUGUCUCUCACAUUAAAUCACAAAAAAUACGAAAAGGAGUGGAAACCCACUCUCCUUAAAAAAAUAAAACUGUAUUCUGAAA
This is a long non-coding RNA of Coregonus clupeaformis (lake whitefish), 1274 nucleotides long. RefSeq lists it as uncharacterized. The record is from RefSeq and is a predicted model, not a curated record. NCBI's taxonomy places the organism in Eukaryota, Metazoa, Chordata, Actinopteri, Salmoniformes, Salmonidae. The transcript is spliced from 2 exons.